Molecule: ribosomal RNA, 690 nt
Filed under: uncultured bacterium
Lineage: Bacteria
Description: bacterial SSU rRNA
Rfam family: Bacterial small subunit ribosomal RNA
Source: RNAcentral
UGGUGAGUAACACGUAAGCAACCUGCCUAUCAGAGGGGAACAACAGUUAGAAAUGACUGUUAAUACCGCAUAUGCCUUGAGUAUUGCAUGAUACAAAAGGGAAAGGAGAAAUCCGCUGAUAGAUGGGCUUGCGUCUGAUUAGCUAGUUGGUGGGGUAAAGGCCUACCAAGGCGACGAUCAGUAGCCGGACUGAGAGGUUGAACGGCCACAUUGGGACUGAGAUACGGCCCAGACUCCUACGGGAGGCAGCAGUCGGGAAUAUUGCGCAAUGGAGGGAACUCUGACGCAGUGACGCCGCGUGCAGGAAGAAGGUUUUCGGAUUGUAAACUGCUUUAGACAGGGAAGAUAAUGACAGUACCUGUAGAAUAAGCUCCGGCUAACUACGUGCCAGCAGCCGCGGUAAUACGUAGGGAGCAAGCGUUAUCCGGAUUUAUUGGGUGUAAAGGGUGCGUAGACGGGAAGGCAAGUUAGUUGUGAAAUCCCUCGGCUUAACUGAGGAACUGCAACUAAAACUAUCUUUCUUGAGUGCUGGAGAGGAAAGUGGAAUUCCUAGUGUAGCGGUGAAAUGCGUAGAUAUUAGGAGGAACACCAGUGGCGAAGGCGACUUUCUGGACAGUAACUGACGUUGAGGCACGAAAGUGUGGGGAGCAAACAGGAUUAGAUACCCUGGUAGUCCACACCGUAAACGAU